GAGAGAGAGAGUGCAGCGCCUCCUCCGUCAAUCCGCCGAUCCGUCGUCUCCGGCACCGGCCGCCAUGUCCGGGGGCUCGGGGUGAGUCCCCGCGUCCCAUUCCCGGCGUUAGGACCCCGAGGAGCGACCCCCCCCCGUCGAGCUCGUCCUCGUCAACGGGGCGAACCGGGCGAACUUCUUCCCUGCUUCGGUCUACGUCGGAGGAGCUUCUUCGGCGUCUUCUUCCCCGGUCCGGCGCUCCUCCUCCCCGUUCGGCGCCCCAUCUUCUCCCAAGGUGAGGCCACGCGUCCCCCUUCCUUCCUCCUCCGCGGAGCGGCUCGGACCUCCGUCGUGUGCGUGCGUUCUCUGUUCGUGGCAGCAGCAAGUUAGAUGAUGCGGUCGUAGCGGCUGUUCUGCAAGUAACGCGUUCUUGGGGGUGCCGCGCAGAGGAGGGCUUCCUCCCCCCUCGCAGCAGCAGCGCCGUGGUUAUGGGAACCACCUCGUCGCCGAUUAUGUGGCCUCCUGUUGCCUCGGUCGCGGUAGACGCAGAGCGACAGCGUAGUGUUGGUGCGGUUCCUCCGUCAGUCUAGGGCGCCAUGCGGGCGUGCUCUAGCAACAGCGGCGGUUCCUUCCCGAGUAGGUGGCUGUUCGUCGUGUGCAAGAGCUCGUCGCCGGCAGCGCAACUAGCAACGUCGGCUAGGAUAGCCGUCAGGUUCCCUGUCUCCGUCGUUCCCAGUAGACAGGCAGAGGGCGAUUUCAGGUAUUUAUUCCUGUAUGAGAAUCCCCCUCUGUCAGAUACCCCUCCGUAGCCCGAUGGUAGUGUUGUGCUGGCAUAAACUUGCGCCUGUAGGAGUGCGUGGGUUCGAGUCCCCCCUUGGCGCCUUUUUGUUUGUUUUCCUCGAUUAUUUCGGGUCAGUGAGAGUGCAGGCAGCUUACCUUGCAUAUCUCUCUUCUCCUGUCAACAAGUAGCGUCGUAGCGCCGUGUCGUGGGUGUGUGGUGCUGGACACCAGGGGUCUGGGUUCGAAUCCCAGCAGCCCUGUUUUUUUUUUAAUUUUUUUUUGCAAUCUUUUCUUUUUCCUGCCUACUUAUUUCCUGUUUUCCUAACUCCUACACUUGUGUCUUAUCAGUUUUGUCCCCUGUUGUUUUUUAUUUUAAAAACUCCUACGCAGUGGUGAUUGCUCCUGUUCCUGCUAGAAUGGUGGAAUAGAUAUAGUUGUGAGUAUGUUUUGCACACUAGGGGUGAUAAAUAUUAUUGCUAGCUUGUGAUGUUUAUAGUGGUUGUACCUUAGUGAAGAGGAGCCAACCUUGUUAAGGGCAUGGUGCUAGAUGCCUUGACAAAUAUGGGUGUAGUGUUUGGAGGUGAUCAGUUGCCCUAGCUAAUCUUGCAAAGCCCUAGCUUGUGAACUUUGGUGUGGGCUAAGUUGAACUUGUAGCUUUAUUGUUUUGCAUGGAGUUACUUUGAUGUGGGUGCCUCCCCCUCAUCACAUGUUUUGGUGUGAUGUGAAGAUCUAGGUGACUAUCCACGCUAGUGUGUGAAGGUGUGGAUGUUGUGGUGGUUGCAUAUAGAGGAUGACAUGAUUACUAGGAAGAUCCUAGUGAUGCUUGUGAGAGUGUGCACCAUCACAUGCCCAUAUGUGGGGGUGUGCUUACCCUCUUGUUAGUUUAAAGAUUUCUUUUGUGUGAGCUUGAUGCUAGUGCUUGAGAGGAAUUGUGUGGGUUGGUGUUGUCGAUGUGCAUGACACAAACAUGGGGUUCAAACCCCCAUGUCACUUUGUCAUUGUGCACAUGAAACCCUCCUAUGUAUUGUCAUCUUAGAAGAAUACCUUAUGGAUUUGCAUUUUUCAUUUUGUUGAAAGUUUGGGCUUUGUUUCCAUGAUAUAGAUGGAGCCCAAAGGCAUGGAUCUUGGUGUGUUAGUUGUAGGGGUUUGUGCUCAAUACCAUAGUGGUGUCAAACACCUCUUGGGAACUUGUGUGUGCAAACUAUGCCUAGACAAAGUGGGCAUGUGGUUGGGAAAUUCCAGAUUUUUGAACUCUGAAAAUUUCACUAAGUCUGGGAUGCUGAAAACAUUUUCUUCCCCUGUAGACAAGGUUGUUCUGGUCAUUAUGUUGAGAACUGGACUUAGUUCAGUGCUAGUGUUUUGAACCUGAGAUGUUUGUGAAGCUUCCUGUCAAUUUUCAAGUCAUUUGGAUUCCAGUAGCUUGUGUUUUGGUUGCUGUUAAAAGGCUUCAGAACAGAAACAGAAACUCAGGUGCAGGAAUUUUCACUAAGUCCCUGAGGACUGAUGGUUUUGGGAAAGUUUUUGGCCUUGUAUCUUCUAGAGUUUAAUUAAUUUUGCUGUGAUUAUUGCUGGAGAUUGUAGUGUUCUUGGUUGGCAACAGCCACAUAUAUUAUUUGUCAUAUUUGAAGACCUGUAGCUAUGUUGCAUGUGGCUCACAAACAGCUAAGAUGCAGAAACUGGCAGAUUGCGUAGUUUUGCCAUUUUGUUCAAAGUUUGUGUUCAGUUGUUGUUGGGGUGUUCUACCUUGCUCCAUUUCAUUCAUGUUGGGUUAAUAUAUGUCUUGGCAACCUGGGAACACCAGAUUUGUGCCAAUUGUGUGUGUGGUGAUGAAUCUUUCACGUAGAGCUUCAUAUCGUGUUUCGUUGAUUCCCGUUGAUCCGUAGCUCCGUUUGCAAAGUUCUUUAUAUGGUUUUGCACCAGUUUUACAAGGUGCAUAUGUUCAUAUAAUUCCCAUGCAUGUCCAAAUAGUUUAGUGCAAAGUUCUGUCCAGGAACUUGUUGUAGUUUAUCUUGCUGGUGCUAGUGUUAGAAAUAGUGGUGCAUGCUCAACUUUCAUCUCAUGCAUCAUGUGAUUGUUGCAUUUUGUGGUGCUGCUGUUCAUUGGCUGUUAUUUUUGUGUUGGGUAGCACCGGGAGCGGAGACCGAUUACGUGGAGUCAGGAGAGUACGUGCAGGACGAUCCAGAACCAUUCCAAGCUGAGGAUAUCACAGGCAAGAUGACAUGACCUUGAUCCCAUAUCUAGACUUGUUAUGUUAGUUUCGAUUCCAC
Molecule: long non-coding RNA, 3026 nt
Filed under: Hordeum vulgare
Lineage: Eukaryota; Viridiplantae; Streptophyta; Magnoliopsida; Poales; Poaceae
Description: long non-coding RNA (HVUL_LNC016821)
Source: RNAcentral